GAUGAACGCUGGCGGCGUGCCUAAUACAUGCAAGUCGAGCGAACAGACGAGGAGCUUGCUCCUCUGACGUUAGCGGCGGACGGGUGAGUAACACGUGGAUAACCUACCUAUAAGACUGGGAUAAUUUCGGGAAACGGGAGCUAAUACCGGAUAAUAUAUUGAACCGCAUGGUUCAAUAGUGAAAGACGGUUUUGAUGUCACUUAUAGAUGGAUCCGCGCCGCAUUAGCUAGUUGGUAAGGUCACGGCUUACCAAGGCAACGAUGCGUAGCCGACCUGAGAGGGUGAUCGGCCACCCUAGAACGUAGACACGGUCCAGACUCCUACGGGAGGCAGCAGUAGGGAAUCUUCCGCAAUGGGCGAAAGCUUGACGGAGCAACGCCGCGUGAGUGAUAGAGGUCUUCGGAUCGUAAAACUCUGUUAUUAGGGAAAAACAAAUGUGGAAGUAACUAUGCACGACUUGACGGUACCUAAUCAGAAAGCCACGGCUAACUACGUG
This 497-nucleotide ribosomal RNA is filed under the name uncultured bacterium. Its description in RNAcentral is "partial 16S ribosomal RNA". It matches the Rfam family "Bacterial small subunit ribosomal RNA", at positions 28 to 507 of the family's 1533-position model. The record is from RNAcentral.